Molecule: ribosomal RNA, 422 nt
Filed under: uncultured eukaryote
Lineage: Eukaryota
Description: SSU rRNA
Rfam family: Eukaryotic small subunit ribosomal RNA
Source: RNAcentral
CAAUAGCGUAUAUUAAAGUUGUUGCGGUUAAAAAGCUCGUAGUUGGAUUUCUGCCGAGGACGACCGGUCCGCCCUCUGGGUGAGUAUCUGGUUCGACCUGGGCAUCCUCUUGGAGAACGUGGCUGCACUUGAUUGUGUGGUGCGGUAUCCAGGACUUUUACUUUGAGGAAAUUAGAGUGUUUCAAGCAGGCACACGCCUUGAAUACAUUAGCAUGGAAUAAUAAGAUAGGACCUCGGUUCUAUUUUGUUGGUUUCUAGAGCUGAGGUAAUGAUUAAUAGGGAUAGUUGGGGGCAUUCAUAUUUCAUUGUCAGAGGUGAAAUUCUUGGAUUUAUGAAAGAUGAACUUCUGCGAAAGCAUUUGCCAAGGAUGUUUUCAUUAAUCAAGAACGAAAGUUAGGGGAUCGAAGACGAUUAGAUACCAU